RNAcentral lists this ribosomal RNA (472 nucleotides) under uncultured bacterium. Its description in RNAcentral is "bacterial SSU rRNA". It matches the Rfam family "Bacterial small subunit ribosomal RNA", at positions 328 to 793 of the family's 1533-position model. The record is from RNAcentral.
CUCUGUGACUCCUACGGGAGGCAGCAGUGGGGAAUAUGCACAAUGGGGGAAACCCUGAUGCAGCCAUGCCGCGUGUGUGAAGAAGGCCUUCGGGUUGUAAAGCACUUUCAGUAGGGAGGAAGGUAGUGUAGUUAACACCUGCACUAUUUGACGUUACCUACAGAAGAAGCACCGGCUAACUCCGUGCCAGCAGCCGCGGUAAUACGGAGGGUGCGAGCGUUAAUCGGAAUUACUGGGCGUAAAGCGCAUGCAGGCGGCCUGUUAAGUCAGAUGUGAAAGCCCCGGGGCUUAACCUCGGAAUUGCAUUUGAAACUGGCAGGCUAGAGUCUUGUAGAGGGGGUAGAAUUUCAGGUGUAGCGGUGAAAUGCGUAGAGAUCUGAAGGAAUACCAGUGGCGAAGGCGGCCCCCUGGACAAAGACUGACGCUCAGAUGCGAAAGCGUGGGGAGCAAACAGGAUUAGAUACCCUGGUAG